CAUGAUCGAUUUGUUGCAGGAAACACGGCGAGCUUCAAACCAGACUGGAAUACAAACAUAAAACUGUCAUUGAUAGUUGGAGGAAACAUAGCUAUCAAGUUUAUUUUCCAUACGUAUUCAUCGAACAUUUAGGCGAACAUGCUUGAAAACAACAGCUUUUGCAAGCAGGAAUAAUAAUGUCCAUCGUGACAGUGCAACUUGGACAAUGUGGCAACCAGGUAGGCCAAGAGUUGUUCGAGGUGAUCAGCAAUGAUGCAAAUGAUACGCAAAGAAAGGUUUACAGUGAAUGCAGCAGUGAGCGUUUCUUCAAUGAGACUGCAAAUAGAGAACUCGUGGCAAGGUCAGUGCUGAUUGACAUGGAACCCAAAGUCAUCUCACAGAGUAUUGCAAAGACUGGCAAAUCUGGGAAGUGGAGAUAUGGGGACCGUUCACACUUCAGUCAGAAACAGGGUUCUGGAAACAACUGGGCAAAUGGAUACUGUGUCCAUGGACCACGUCAUGAGGAGGUAGUGAUGGACAUUGUGAGGAGGGAGGUGGAGCACUGUGACUGUCUGGCAGGAAUCGUGGCCAUGAUGAGUGUGGCAGGGGGCACAGGGUCAGGGGUGGGCACAUACGUUACUCAGUGUCUCCGGGACACCUACCCAAACUCCUUCAUCCUCAACCACCUGACAUGGCCCUAUGGCACUGGAGAGGUGAUAGUCCAGAACUACAACUCUGUGCUCACACUGUCACACCUCUACCAGCUCUCAGAUGCCAUUCUGGUUCAUGAAAAUGACACGGUUCACAAGAUCUGUGCUCAGCUCAUGAAUAUCAAACACAUAUCAUUCAGGGACGUCAACAAAGUCAUCGCCCACCAGCUAGGGAGUGUUCUGCAGCCUGCACUCACUGGUGACUCCCAUGGUAUCUACAAUAGAAACCCCAUAGGUCAACUGAUGAGCAGCCUGGUGUGUCACCCAGAGUACAAGCUUCUCAGUGUGUGCAACAUUCCCCAGGUGUCCAGCUCCUCUAUGGCUUACAGCAUGUUCACCUGGCCGGGCCUGCUCAAACAUCUACGUCAGAUGCUCAUUGCCAACUCCAAAAUGGAGGAAGGCAUCGACUGGCAGGUGCGAGCCCCCUCUCUCCAGCCUGAAGGGACAGAGAGGACCGGGAGUCACAGACGACCAGGCUUCAACACCUCCCUGGCCAACCUGCUCAUACUGCGGGGAAAGGAUGUGAACGAUGCAGAGAUAAGUGGAUUUCAGCAUCCGAGUCUAUAUACCCCCUGGCUUCCAGCAGAUGAGGCUUUCAGCAUGUGGAAAACCCCAGUCCCGUUUAACAAGUAUGAGAAGUCUGCUAUACUGGUCAGCAACAGUCAGACUCUGUUGAGGCCUCUGGACAACAUGGUGGGGAAAGCCUGGAACAUGUUUGCCUCCAGGGCCUACAUUCAUCAAUACACUAAGUUUGGGAUCUCAGAGGAGGAUUUCUUGGAUAGCUUCACAUCUCUUGAACAGGUCAUCUCUAGCUACAGUCAACUUUGAUGCUACGGUCUGCUUUGGACCAGUACGAUACUGUUUGGAUAGGACGAAAACCAGGAUUCACUCAACUGCAAAUUUGGACAAUGCACUUUCAAGUGUACCUCUGCUGCCGACUCUGUUGUCGUCGCUUGGCGUAGCUCUGAGCCAUGGAGUUGAUGAUGGAGAAGAUAAAGUAACAGACCAUGACCAGAACCACCUUCUCAAAGACCCAUGACAGCCAGUUCUCAGUCUGCACAGAGAGACAUGCAUACAGUGGAAUAUUACUCUUGACGAACACGAAUGCAUUACAAUUUGUAUUAUCUUGGCAAUCAAUAAAAUCACAUGCUUUGUCUCGACUUAGGAAGGAUGGAUGAUGGUAAUAGUGCUCUUACCGCCGGGGUGCCAGCGCCAGUGUGGUGGUGGAGUUUACUCCUCUGGGCCUCCAGGUACUCACUGAAAGGCUUCUGUAUGGAGGGACCUACCCUCGGCAGAGACCUGACACAGUGGCAGGGCAAGGAAAUCCACAGGCAAGGGAAAAGAGGGAGGGAAAGACAGACAACAUUAUAUCCCAGAGUACUUACCAUAUCAGCAGUAUCCCUUCACAUGGUAAAAUAAUGAGGCUUUGUCGAGGGAACCCGUGGUCCAUAGGACCAGGGUUUAAAGAGAGCAGUCUAUUGCUCAUGAUGUCAAGAGUUCCAAUUUCUAUGUUUCUAGUUAGGCAUCACGUCUAGCUGGGAGUUCCCACUGCCAGUGUAGUGGCUGAGAGCACACAGCAGAGUGAAGUGAGGCAGUCCUCAUCUCUUAUUUAUUCCUGAGAUCCCUAUAAGAAACCAGUCUGAGCCCAAUAACCAGGAAGUGACUCAAUAUGCUGUCAUCACAGCCUUAUGGGUGGAAACAGAUCAAACUAGACGUGUUCAUCAAUAUGACUGUCCAUAUGGGAGGGAGAGCAAAGGAUUAGAUCACUGUGUGGGCCCCUCAGUUCAUCAGAGCUCUUUACAUUAUAGUUACAGGGAAUGCAGACAAAUUGAUUGGAAGAGAACCCUCAGACACCACAACUUGAUGUACCAGAGUAACACCACAAUAAUUCAUAGUUGACAGUACUAUACCAAAAUAAUUGGUAUAAUUUAAUCAAUGUAUCACAACCAUCAUUAAAUAAAAUAUACAAACAUGGUUACAGUUUUUUUUUUUUAUGCAGGUGUUAAUAUAAACUUCAUCUAAAGCUUAACUAGACAGAUUCAAAACAAUUUACUAUCGGGGUAAAAAGUUAAUUGUAAUUGCUGAUCUUAAACAAAGGGAUAUGGCAUGCCCAUUCCCAGGCUAACUUUGAGUGACUCACUCAGCCACACACAAACUGCUGCAAUCAUCAACAGUUCCGAUUCAACGUUCAAGCACCAGUGUAACACAUAGCGAGUCAGACCAGUCAAACAAUUGCAAUGAUAGCAAGCAAUUGUUCUUUCUCACGCGACUCAUUUUAACUGUAAAUAAGAUGGCACUAUAAACUGAUCAUUAGUUGUAAGAUUUGUAUUUUAUUUGUUCAUGAUAAUUUAAAAAAUUGGAUGAGAAGAAAUAGUCAAGGAAGAGCUGAAGAUUUAAGCUCAUUAUGUUGGAUGUGUUAAAUGGAAGUGAUGAUUUAUUUUUCUUUCAUACAAUGGCUUGCGAAAAAAUGUACCCCCCCUUGGAAUUUUUCCCUUUUUGUUGCCCUACAACCUGGAAUUAAAAUGUAUUUUUUGUGG
Oncorhynchus tshawytscha (Chinook salmon) is the source of this 3226-nucleotide RNA transcript. It is a transcript of the gene named tubulin, delta 1, with no coding region annotated. The record is from RefSeq and is a predicted model, not a curated record. The transcript is spliced from 9 exons. NCBI's taxonomy places the organism in Eukaryota, Metazoa, Chordata, Actinopteri, Salmoniformes, Salmonidae.